Molecule: ribosomal RNA, 468 nt
Filed under: uncultured bacterium
Lineage: Bacteria
Description: partial 16S ribosomal RNA
Rfam family: Bacterial small subunit ribosomal RNA
Source: RNAcentral
GACGAACGCUGGCGGCGUGCUUAACACAUGCAAGUCGAACGGAAAGUCCCUGCUUUUGUGGGGUGCUCGAGUGGCGAACGGGUGAGUAACACGUGAGUAACCUGCCCUUGACUUUGGGAUAACUUCAGGAAACUGGGGCUAAUACCGGAUAGGAGCUCAUGCUGCAUGGUGGGGGUUGGAAAGUUUCGGCGGUUGGGGAUGGACUCGCGGAUUAUCAGCUCGUUGGUGGGGUAGUGACUUACCAAGACUUUGACGGGUAGCCGGCCUGAGAGGGUGACCUGCCACAUUGGGACUGAGAUGCGACCCAGAGUGCUACGGGAGACAGCAGUAGCAAAUAUUGCACAAUGGGCGGAAGCCUGAUGCAGCAACGCCGCGUGCGGGAUGACGGCCUUCGGGUUGUAAACCGCUUUCGCCUGUAACGAAGCGUGAGUGACGGUAAUGGGUAAAGGAGCACCGGCUAACUACGUG